RNAcentral lists this ribosomal RNA (506 nucleotides) under Trichocomaceae sp. Its description in RNAcentral is "SSU rRNA". It matches the Rfam family "Eukaryotic small subunit ribosomal RNA", at positions 611 to 1123 of the family's 1831-position model. Lineage: Eukaryota; Fungi; Ascomycota; Eurotiomycetes; Eurotiales; Trichocomaceae. The record is from RNAcentral.
UGUUGCAGUUAAAAAGCUCGUAGUCGAACCUUGGGUCUGGCUGGCCGGUCCGCCUCACCGCGAGUACUGGUCCGGCUGGACCUUUCCUUCUGGGGAACCUCAUGGCCUUCACUGGCUGUGGGGGGAACCAGGACUUUUACUGUGAAAAAAUUAGAGUGUUCAAAGCAGGCCUUUGCUCGAAUACAUUAGCAUGGAAUAAUAGAAUAGGACGUGCGGUUCUAUUUUGUUGGUUUCUAGGACCGCCGUAAUGAUUAAUAGGGAUAGUCGGGGGCGUCAGUAUUCAGCUGUCAGAGGUGAAAUUCUUGGAUUUGCUGAAGACUAACUACUGCGAAAGCAUUCGCCAAGGAUGUUUUCAUUAAUCAGGGAACGAAAGUUAGGGGAUCGAAGACGAUCAGAUACCGUCGUAGUCUUAACCAUAAACUAUGCCGACUAGGGAUCGGGCGGCGUUUCUAUGAUGACCCGCUCGGCACCUUACGAGAAAUCAAAGUUUUUGGGUUCUGGGGGAG